Long non-coding RNA from Clupea harengus (Atlantic herring), 3255 nucleotides. Lineage: Eukaryota; Metazoa; Chordata; Actinopteri; Clupeiformes; Clupeidae. The record is from Ensembl.
UGCACACACCUCCACAUUCCACCUCACUUUCUCUUCCUCCGACUCUCUUCUUCACUCUAUCCCUCCCUCUGUCUCUUCCUCAUUCUGUCCCUCCCUCUGCCUCCUCCUCAUUCUGUCCCUCUUUCUCUCUCUCACACUCCCUCCCUCUGUGUCUGUCUGAUUCUGUCCCUCAUUCUUUCUCUCACCCUCUCUGUCUUUGUCUUUCUCUGCCUCUGUCUCUCUCUCUGUCUCUCUCGCUGUGCAUGUUGCUUAGCCGCUGUGCUAACUGUCCAUAGCGAAGACAGGUUGUGUCAUUAGGACUUCACUUCUUGAGCCUGUGCCAGAGCCAGUGCCCACACCAACACUAGCCUGCUCACACUUGGGCCCAAACUGGGGCCUACGUCUGGCCCUGCUGCUGGGACCAACGCUACAUGAUGCUCACUACGUUUUCAGUCUCCGUUACAGCUGAAAACUGAAGCGCUUCAAUGGCCAAUGUGUUCUGACGACCGUGUUUAUUUAUUGUGUUUGUGUCUGUCUUGACUUUUUUUUAAUUUUUUUAUUAUUUGAUUUGCUUUGAUGUGGUUGUUACCGCUGAGGUCUUAUUGGAGAACAACACUGACCGUGGUUACAUGGAUUCGAAUAACUGCCUUAGUCGGACUGAAAUCGCAUUAUCCGUUUCAUGUAAGCACCUUAGUCGGAUCGUAGUCGGACUGCACAUAGUCGGACUAACACCCCUGGAUAACUCGAUCCGAUCCAGUUGAUAGUUCGACUAUUGCGGCAUGUAACGGUGAAUUGGAUAAGGAACUGGACUUUGCGUCUUUGCGCAUGCUCCCUCUCUCCCUGCCAGGUCGUGACCCGGAAGACGAAAGAGGGAUGAGUUGUCUCAACUGUUCAUACCAAUGACACGGUUUUUUAUGAAUAUCCUGCAGACUGUCUCACAAGCUUAUUCUUGUUGAUUAUGAACAAACAUAACAGAAGAGGUCCGAAGAUAUGAGCACCUUUACAACCCCUCCUUAAACACGUAUAAGGACGUUCCACAUUGUAUUUGCUUAAAACAACAGCAGUACUGUCAAAUCAGUUGUCACUCGGCUAUUACCUGACCAAGGUUCCAUGGCAAUGUUCCGAAAGCCCAUUUUUCCGACAGCCCGCUGUUCCGAAAUUGUGAGUAGAGCAACGUGAACCACUAUAGCCCACAUGCACAUCCCAAUGAAUCACACAAUCAUAAACAUAUAAAUGCCUUUAUUUCACAAGCAUUAACUUGAAUUCAGAAUAUUAUUAUACACACAUGCAUUUGCAUCGCGAUGAUACAAAAAUAUUUGUAUGAUUGCCAACGCAUGCAUGCUUUGUCAGUGCUUGACAAGAUCUGCGUAAUGUCCUGUGACAAUCUGCCGGUGAUUUCCUUCGCAUGAGUGGUAGCCUACCCCAUAUUCAAAACCAGAGUAGGCUAAGUUAACAAAUAUUGCCUAGGAAAAGUUAUAUGCGUGAUAGCCCGGUGAGCGUCUCCGCUCUGCUGUGCAAACGAAAUGCUGUGUGUGUUUUGUGCCACUUAAAAUAUUUCUAAAUUUUGCCAGGGGGACUAUUUUUCGGAAUAAUGAGAUUUCGGAAUAUCGGGCUUUCGGAACACUGGGCCGUCUCCCCUGACCAAUACCUGUCAAACUCGGUGAUACUAUUCACAACUAAUUUGUCCUUCAUUCUAUCAAAUAUGAUGAAAUUUGGUAUUGUGCCAGCGAGGCACGCGUGAGUUUAGUUUUGUUCAGUUAUCUGGCGCUGAAAAGAACCACGAAUAAGUACUGUCAAAUCAGUUAGCCUAUUAUGUAUUGUAUUAAUUGCACCUAGUUCCAGUGGCGCAUGCAUGCAACUAAUGCCCAGCGUUGACGAUGCAGAUACAGAGCUGGAAACAGCUAAAUGAGUUACGCAGUGAACUUUAUCAAGCCCUGGAAAGUUCGGCAAAUUUCUACCCAAACAUUCAUUGCGUCCUGAAGGUCUUGUAUCUAUCUACGAAAAGACUGACUGGACUUGCUCUCAUGAAUAUUCACACAGAUUUGGAAAUCGACAGCGAAGAAGUAAUAAAACAAUUUGAUGCAACUGGCAGAAGGGCAAUGCGUUUAGGCUGUAACCCAUUAUUUGCGCGCGUGUGUGAAUGUGCGUGCGUUUCUCUCGCCUUUUAUCUUUCACCUUUGAAUAAUGUAACUUAUAAACACAUCUGCCCGGCAGAAACAAACAAACAAACAAACAAACAACCCAAGAGGCAACACGCAUUUCUGGACCGAUGAACAGACGCGAUUCAUGCUCAAUCAACUGUUGUUGUUAUUGGUAGUGGUGAAGAGGUCAAGCGGAAAGGGCUGUAUCACCACUAGUUGUAAUGAAAACAGCGCCACCUAUCGUAUCGGAUAUGACAUGCUUUCGGCCAAUGAUUUGAUUUAUUCACUGCCAUCUAUAUUGGGAUAAUAGCACUUGCCCCAAAAGAUAGCAUAGUCCGACUAAGCAAAGAUUCGAAUUAUACCAUCAUGUAAACACACUGACUGGCUGCUGCACAAUUUUCUAGAAUGUUCUACAUCUACAUUCACUGGAAUGAACUCAAACACUGAGCCAGAUAUAGUGGAUUCCUCUUGAAGCUUUUACGGUGUUGUUCCAGACAGUAUAUGCUCAUUUGGGUUGUCGUUACUUUUUUUACCUUUGAUAAAGUCAAUGUCUCUUUAAGACUGUGUUCAGUUCGUCGCCAUAAUGAUAAUGAUGUCAAAUUGAUUAAACGACAAGUCUCACUAAAGCCGGGGAGUCAGAGCUCCGCCUUCACACAACGUUGUAGUGUAAUUUGCCAAGUUGGAAAUAUCCCAGUGGUCCCGAACGCGGCAUUAUAGGUCAAGCUAGACGCUAUGUUAAACUCACGACUGUGGAACGCCAGCAUGCUGUAAAAAAAAAAACACGCUCUGGCGACGUUAGGCCGUCUCUGAGCCUUCUUCGCUUGUUUACCCUGAACCAAUGUGGGGUUUUCUUAACGGUGAUAUAGCGGGAUCUCUGUUUAAAAAGUGUCACCCCUCCUCUAUUGCUUCAGUCUGGCUGAAGGUAUUGGGGAGACUGUGUAAUGGAGGGUUUUGUCCAGAAAAGAACGGCAAGAAGAGGGAUUCCACAUGGAGUGUGACGAUCAGAGUUGGAGUCUUGGGUUGGAUUUGUGUGGGAGAUGAGAGUCUGGUCAAGUGCUCGACCACCAAAGACGGCACUGCUUGUUUUUUUUGGCCUGUGCUGACAUCACUGUGCUGCAUGACCUCUAGUGACCUG